This 425-nucleotide ribosomal RNA is filed under the name uncultured bacterium. RNAcentral describes it as "partial 16S ribosomal RNA". It matches the Rfam family "Bacterial small subunit ribosomal RNA", at positions 354 to 796 of the family's 1533-position model. The record is from RNAcentral.
GUGGGGAAUCUUAGACAAUGGGGGAAACCCUGAUCUAGCCAUGCCGCGUGAGCGAUGAAGGCCUUAGGGUUGUAAAGCUCUUUCAGCUGGGAAGAUAAUGACGGUACCAGCAGAAGAAGCCCCGGCUAACUCCGUGUCAGCAGCCGCGGUAAUACGGAGGGGGCUAGCGUUGUUCGGAAUUACUGGGCGUAAAGCGCACGUAGGCGGAUCAGAAAGUCAGAGGUGAAAUCCCAGGGCUCAACCUUGGAACUGCCUUUGAAACUCCUGGUCUUGAGGUCGAGAGAGGUGAGUGGAAUUCCGAGUGUAGAGGUGAAAUUCGUAGAUAUUCGGAGGAACACCAGUGGCGAAGGCGGCUCACUGGCUCGAUACUGACGCUGAGGUGCGAAAGCGUGGGGAGCAAACAGGAUUAGAUACCCUAGUAGUCC